AGGACUAACAGGGCCUGACAUGUAGCAGAUACUAUGAAAUGUUUCUUGAAUUAUUGUUUCGUUGAUGGAUUAAAAAAAAAGAACUUCGGUGCUGAACGAAGUUUAUCAUCCAAAGGAAUGCGAUGCCUUGAUAAUCACUUUUUGGAUAUUCACGCAUUCCACAUUCAUAUAUACUGAACAUCUGCAGCCCAUUAAAAGGAAGGAAUAAAGUGGUAAGCCUCCCGCCCAACCGUCAGGUUGUGGUGAUGAUCUUUUGGUGAAGUGCGCCAUCUGUCAUCAGAAACCAGUAUGGCCUCUCUGUGGGCCAGAGUCAAAGGAACUGUCAACCAGAGGAGUGAAUCUGUGUUCAUUAGCAUUUCCUCUUUGCACAGCAUUUGACCACUUUUUCUACCAACAAUGGCAAAGGACCUGAGACUAUACAUCCAUCCUGCCUGUUGCAGUGGAAGCAGCCAGGUGGGUGCUUUGAAAAUAAAACCUGAGCUUCCCAUGUCAAAAUGUUUUUUCACCACCUGUGAAUUCACUGGUAAAAAAGAGUAAUGGGUGCUCGCUUUGGCAGCACAUAUAUUAACAUUGGAACAACACAAAGAAGAUGAGCAUCACCUCUGCACAAGGAAGACAUGCAAAUUCAUGAAGCAUUCCAUAUUUUUAGGAAGUACCUAGAAUUUUUCAACUAAACGAAUAUAUCCUCUGGGUUCUGCUGUGGCCCAGACAGUGUUAACUUUUUUUUUUUCCGUUGUGGGUUUUGAUUUUUCUCCCCCAGAAAUUGGUUUUAUUUGAUGUGCCCAAGUCUUAAGUUUUUCAAUAAAGAAAAAAAAGUCUCCAUAAAAA
This is a long non-coding RNA of Herpailurus yagouaroundi (jaguarundi), 828 nucleotides long. RefSeq lists it as uncharacterized. The transcript has 2 exons. The record is from RefSeq and is a predicted model, not a curated record. NCBI's taxonomy places the organism in Eukaryota, Metazoa, Chordata, Mammalia, Carnivora, Felidae.